RNAcentral lists this ribosomal RNA (393 nucleotides) under uncultured bacterium. Its description in RNAcentral is "partial 16S ribosomal RNA". It matches the Rfam family "Bacterial small subunit ribosomal RNA", at positions 523 to 918 of the family's 1533-position model. The record is from RNAcentral.
AUACGGAGGAUGCAAGCGUUAUCCGGAUUUAUUGGGUUUAAAGGGUGCGUAGGCGGACAGUCAAGCAGGGGGUGAAAUGCCGGCGCUCAACGUCGGAAGUGCCUCCCGAACUGGUGGACUUGAAUGACUCUGCCGUGGGAGGAAUGUGUAGUGUAGCGGUGAAAUGCUUAGAGAUUACACAGAACACCGAUUGCGAAAGCAUCUCACGAAGGGUUGAUUGACGCUGAGGCACGAAAGCGUGGGGAUCAAACAGGAUUAGAUACCCUGGUAGUCCACGCAGUAAACGAUGAUGGCUAACCGCUGGGCUUAUCAGUUCAGUGGCCAAGCGAAAGCGAUAAGCCAUCCACCUGGGGAGUACGACCGCAAGGUUGAAACUCAAAUGAAUUGACGGGG